This 253-nucleotide ribosomal RNA is filed under the name uncultured bacterium. RNAcentral's name for it is "partial 16S ribosomal RNA". It matches the Rfam family "Bacterial small subunit ribosomal RNA", at positions 524 to 776 of the family's 1533-position model. The record is from RNAcentral.
UACGGAGGAGGCAAGCGUUAUCCGGAAUUAUUGGGCGUAAAGCGUCCGUAGAUGGUUUUGUCAGUCUGCUGUCAAAGCACAGGGCUUAACCCUGUAAAGGCAGUGGAAACUACAAGACUAGAGUGCAGUAGGGGCAGAGGGAAUUCCCAGUGUAGCGGUGAAAUGCGUAGAGAUUGGGAAGAACAUCCGUGGCGAAAGCGCUCUGCUGGACUGCAACUGACAUUGAGGGACGAAAGCUAGGGGAGCGAAUGGG